CCUACGGGGGGCUGCAGUGGGGAAUAUUGCACAAUGGGGGAAACCCUGAUGCAGCGACGCCGCGUGAGUGAAGAAGUAAUUCGUUAUGUAAAGCUCUAUCAGCAGGGAAGAAAAUGACGGUACCUGAGUAAGAAGCCCCGGCUAACUACGUGCCAGCAGCCGCGGUAAUACGUAGGGGGCAAGCGUUAUCCGGAUUUACUGGGUGUAAAGGGAGCGCAGACGGCAGUGCAAGUCUGGAGUGAAAGCCCGGGGCCCAACCCCGGAACUGCUCUGGAAACUGUGCGGCUAGAGUACUGGAGGGGCAGGCGGAAUUCCUAGUGUAGCGGUGAAAUGCGUAGAUAUUAGGAGGAACACCAGUGGCGAAGGCGGCCUACUGGACAGUAACUGACGUUGAGGCUCGAAAGCGUGGGGAGCAAACAGGAUUAGAUACCCUAGUAGUC
Molecule: ribosomal RNA, 440 nt
Filed under: uncultured bacterium
Lineage: Bacteria
Description: partial 16S ribosomal RNA
Rfam family: Bacterial small subunit ribosomal RNA
Source: RNAcentral